RNAcentral lists this ribosomal RNA (492 nucleotides) under uncultured bacterium. RNAcentral's name for it is "partial 16S ribosomal RNA". It matches the Rfam family "Bacterial small subunit ribosomal RNA", at positions 29 to 507 of the family's 1533-position model. The record is from RNAcentral.
AGUGAACGCUGGCGGUAGGCCUAACACAUGCAAGUCGAACGGCAGCACAGUAAGAGCUUGCUCUUACGGGUGGCGAGUGGCGGACGGGUGAGGAAUACAUCGGAAUCUACUUUUUCGUGGGGGAUAACGUAGGGAAACUUACGCUAAUACCGCAUACGACCUACGGGUGAAAGCAGGGGAUCUUCGGACCUUGCGCGAUUGAAUGAGCCGAUGUCGGAUUAGCUAGUUGGCGGGGUAAAGGCCCACCAAGGCGACGACCCGUAGCUGGUCUGAGAGGAUGAUCAGCCACACUGGAACUGAGACACGGUCCAGACUCCUACGGGAGGCAGCAGUGGGGAAUAUUGGACAAUGGGCGCAAGCCUGAUCCAGCCAUACCGCGUGAGUGAAGAAGGCCUUCGGGUUGUAAAGCCCUUUUGUUGGGAAAGAAAAGCAGCAGGUUAAUACCCCGCUGUUCUGACGGUACCCAAAGAAUAAGCACCGGCUAACUUCGUG